RNAcentral lists this ribosomal RNA (484 nucleotides) under uncultured bacterium. Its description in RNAcentral is "partial 16S ribosomal RNA". It matches the Rfam family "Bacterial small subunit ribosomal RNA", at positions 30 to 507 of the family's 1533-position model. The record is from RNAcentral.
AUUGAACGCUGGCGGCAGGCCUAACACAUGCAAGUCGAGCGGAUGAAGGGAGCUUGCUCCUGGAUUCAGCGGCGGACGGGUGAGUAAUGCCUAGGAAUCUGCCUGGUAGUGGGGGAUAACGUCCGGAAACGGGCGCUAAUACCGCAUACGUCCUGAGGGAGAAAGUGGGGGAUCUUCGGACCUCACGCUAUCAGAUGAGCCUAGGUCGGAUUAGCUAGUUGGUGGGGUAAAGGCCUACCAAGGCGACGAUCCGUAACUGGUCUGAGAGGAUGAUCAGUCACACUGUGACUGUGAGACGGUGCCGACUCCUACAGGGGGCGGCGGUGGGGAAUAUUGGACAAUGGGCGGGAACGUGAGCUAGACAUGCCGCGUGUGUGAAGAAGGUCUUCGGAUUGUAAAGCACUUUAAGUUGGGAGGAAGGGCAGUAAGUUAAUACCUUGCUGUUUUGACGUUACCAACAGAAUAAGCACCGGCUAACUUCGUG